GGGAAUAGCUCAGUGGUAGAGCAUCAGCUUCCCAAGCUGAGGGUCGCGGGUUCGACCCCCGUUUCCC
This 67-nucleotide transfer RNA is filed under the name uncultured Alistipes sp. It matches the Rfam family "tRNA". Rfam says of the family: Transfer RNA (tRNA) molecules are approximately 80 nucleotides in length. Their secondary structure includes four short double-helical elements and three loops (D, anti-codon, and T loops). Lineage: Bacteria; Pseudomonadati; Bacteroidota; Bacteroidia; Bacteroidales; Rikenellaceae. The record is from RNAcentral.